Molecule: ribosomal RNA, 463 nt
Filed under: uncultured bacterium
Lineage: Bacteria
Description: partial 16S ribosomal RNA
Rfam family: Bacterial small subunit ribosomal RNA
Source: RNAcentral
CUACGGGCGGCAGCAGUGGGGAAUUUUGCGCAAUGGGCGAAAGCCUGACGCAGCGACGCCGCGUGAGUGAUGAAGGCCUUCGGGUUGUAAAGCUCUGUGGGGAGGGAAGAAUAAGGCAUGGUUAAUACCCAUGUCGAUGACGGUACCUCCUUAGCAAGCACCGGCUAACUCUGUGCCAGCAGCCGCGGUAAGACAGAGGGUGCGAACGUUGUUCGGAAUUACUGGGCGUAAAGCGCGUGUAGGCGGCUAUGCAAGUCGGAUGUGAAAGCCCUGGGCUUAACCUAGGAAGUGCACUCGAAACUGCAUAGCUCGAGUCCCGGAGAGGAUGGUGGAAUUCUGAGUGUAGAGGUGAAAUUCGUAGAUAUUCAGAGGAACACCGGUGGCGAAGGCGGCCAUCUGGACGGGUACUGACGCUGAGACGCGAAAGCGUGGGUAGCAAACAGGAUUAGAUACCCCGGUAGUC